CGCUCGAUACGUUCCUUAAAAAGUCCGAUUCAUUCAGAUUCUUCUCCCAACUAAGGAAGAGAUCUUGGCGGAAUUGCCACAUAUGAAAUUGAGCACAAUUUUCCAAAGAAAUAGCCCACUUGUUUCUCGAGAAGAAACCAUUUAGGUUGAAAGCCAUAGUGUUGAUACCUAAAGUAGUGAACCAGAUACCUACUACAGGCCAAGCAGCUAGGAAGAAGUAUAACGAACGAGAAUUGUUGAAACUAGCAUAUUGGAAGAUUAAUCGGCCAAAAUAACCGUGAACGGCUACAAUAUUAUAAGUUUCUUCCUCUUGAUCGAAUCCGUAACCUGCAUUAGCAGAGCCUUAUGUCAAGACCUACGGGCUAAGGGACAGUCUCAGGUAGACAGUUUCUAUGGGACGUAGGCCUCCCAAAGGGUAACGGAGGCAUGCAAAGGUUUCAUUGGGUUGGACGGAGAUUGGUCCUCGAGUGUAAAGGCAGAAGGGAGCUUGAUUGCAAGACCCACCCGUCGAGUAGGGACGAAAGUUGGCCUUAGUGAUCUGACGGUACCGAGUGGAAGGGCCAUCACUCAACGUAUAAAAGUUACUCUAAGGAUAACGGGCUGAUCUUCCCAAGAGCUCACAUCGACAGGAAGGUUUGGCACCUCAAUCUCGGCUCUUCGCCACCUGGGGCUGUAGUAUGUUCCAAGGGUUGGACUGUUCGUCCUUUAAAGCGGUACGUGAGCUGGGUUCAGAACGUCAUAAGACAGUUCGGUCCAUAUCUGGUGUGGGAAUUAGGGCAUUGAGAGGACCUUUCCCUAGUAGGAGAGGAUUGGGAAGGACACACCUCUGGUGUACCAGUUAUUGUGCCCAAGAUAAACGCUGGGUAGCCAAGUGCGGAGCGGAUAACCAUUGAAAGCAUCUAAGUAGUAAAUUCACCCCAAGAUGAGUGCUCUUCUAUUCCAACUUCCCCAGAGCUUUCGGUAGCACAGUCGAGACAGCGACGGGUUC
RNAcentral lists this long non-coding RNA (988 nucleotides) under Olea europaea subsp. europaea. The stretch from base 173 to 988 matches the Rfam family "Bacterial large subunit ribosomal RNA", at positions 2049 to 2867 of the family's 2925-position model. Lineage: Eukaryota; Viridiplantae; Streptophyta; Magnoliopsida; Lamiales; Oleaceae. The record is from RNAcentral.